GUCGUGACGUAUAUAAGCAGCCGACAGCCGUUGGGUCGGUCAUUUCUCCAGGCGGACGGCAAGAGAAGCAUCCAGAUUAUUUGAGGACCAGAACCAGCAGAACUCAGACCAGGGUUGGCCGUGACAGAAAAUGGCCUUCACAGCCACCGUAGAGGCGCUGCAGGGGUGGACUACAGUGGAGGAGACUGAUGGAUUAAGACAAACAUGACUCAGGUAUGGAAGGAUGAACUGAGAUCAGGUCGCAGCGGCCGCAGUGGAAACCUCCAGGCUGGUUGUCUCCCUGUGGCGUAAUGAAGCUGGAGGAUUGCUCUGAUGGCAGCAGGUCGUCCUACUGGUAGACUGGAGGAUGAGCCAAGAGCAGGUCACAGCAGCUGAUGUGGAAACCUCCAGGUGGAGGAGCCUCUACAGGAAGAGCGUUCAGUGCUGGAGACCUCCAGGUGGAGGCUGCAGCUGGUGGACCACCAGGUGAUCAAACCACAGGAAGCCGGUGGACUCUAACUGGAACUCCCUGGGAUUGUUUAGCUUCUUGUGAACAUGUACUGACUUUGUCUGGAAAUAAAGUGUCUGUAAAUGAAAA
Fundulus heteroclitus (mummichog) is the source of this 577-nucleotide long non-coding RNA. RefSeq lists it as uncharacterized. NCBI's taxonomy places the organism in Eukaryota, Metazoa, Chordata, Actinopteri, Cyprinodontiformes, Fundulidae. The record is from RefSeq and is a predicted model, not a curated record. The transcript is spliced from 9 exons.